RNAcentral lists this microRNA precursor (102 nucleotides) under Mustela putorius furo (domestic ferret). RNAcentral's name for it is "miRNA (ENSMPUG00000020662.1)". Lineage: Eukaryota; Metazoa; Chordata; Mammalia; Carnivora; Mustelidae. The record is from RNAcentral.
CGCCCCCGUCCAGAUGAGAAGAGAAAGAGCACAGCCCGUGACAAACCCAAGUGGAGAUGUUGGCUCUCACCAUGACUCUCUGACUUCGGGGCACAUCAUUUA